AGAGAGAGACAUGCGCGCAUAUCAAUAAGCGGAGGAAAAGAAACUAACAAGGAUUCCCCUAGUAACGGCGAGUGAAGCGGGAAGAGCUCAAAUUUGAAAUCUUAAAGGGUUUCCCUUUACGAAUUGUAGUUUAAAGAAGUGUUUUCUGUUGAGGUUUUGGUAAAAGUUCUUUGGAAUAGGACAUCAUAGAGGGUGAGAAUCCCGUAUUUGACCUUUACUUUCAACUUUGUGAUACACUUUCAAAGAGUCGGAUUGUUUGGGAAUGCAGUCCAAAAUGGGUGGUAAAUUUCAUCUAAAGCUAAAUAUUGGCGAGAGACCGAUAGCGAACAAGUACCGUGAGGGAAAGAUGAAAAGAACUUUGAAAAGAGAGUUAAACAGUACGUGAAAUUGUCAAAAGGGAAGCGUUUGACACCAGUGUUGUUUUUCUGAAAAUCAAUUAAAGAACUGUUUAUGCUAAGCUGUUUAGACUUUAUCAGCUAACUGUUUAGUUUUGAGCUUUUCUUUAAUGCACUUUUCAGUUAACAAGUCAACAUCAAUUUCUUUUGCUGUAAAAAAGCUUGAGGUAGGUGGCUUGAGAUUCGUCUUAAGUGUUUAUAGCCUCUUGCCUAUGCAGUCGGAGAGAUUGAGGUCUGCAGCGUAGAUCCUUCGGGGCUAAAUGCAUUUGUGCUAAGUUAUAGCAUUUUAUAGGCAACUUGUUGACUAUGAUUUGUCUUGUAGCUUACUCGCUUAUGUUAUUUUACCUACGCUUAGGAUGUUGAGCGCAUGUCUCUCUCU
This 774-nucleotide ribosomal RNA is filed under the name uncultured Neocallimastigales. RNAcentral's name for it is "partial large subunit ribosomal RNA". It matches the Rfam family "Eukaryotic large subunit ribosomal RNA", at positions 23 to 616 of the family's 3401-position model. The record is from RNAcentral. Lineage: Eukaryota; Fungi; Neocallimastigomycota; Neocallimastigomycetes; Neocallimastigales.